RNAcentral lists this ribosomal RNA (549 nucleotides) under Enterobacter sp. Its description in RNAcentral is "partial 16S rRNA". The record is from RNAcentral. Lineage: Bacteria; Pseudomonadati; Pseudomonadota; Gammaproteobacteria; Enterobacterales; Enterobacteriaceae.
UGUCCAGGGGGCCGCCUUCGCCACCGGUAUUCCUCCAGAUCUCUACGCAUUUCACCGCUACACCUGGAAUUCUACCCCCCUCUACAAGACUCUAGCCUGCCAGUUUCGAAUGCAGUUCCCAGGUUGAGCCCGGGGAUUUCACAUCCGACUUGACAGACCGCCUGCGUGCGCUUUACGCCCAGUAAUUCCGAUUAACGCUUGCACCCUCCGUAUUACCGCGGCUGCUGGCACGGAGUUAGCCGGUGCUUCUUCUGCGAGUAACGUCAAUCACCAAGGUUAUUAACCUUAAUGCCUUCCUCCUCGCUGAAAGUACUUUACAACCCGAAGGCCUUCUUCAUACACGCGGCAUGGCUGCAUCAGGCUUGCGCCCAUUGUGCAAUAUUCCCCACUGCUGCCUCCCGUAGGAGUCUGGACCGUGUCUCAGUUCCAGUGUGGCUGGUCAUCCUCUCAGACCAGCUAGGGAUCGUCGCCUAGGUGAGCCAUUACCCCACCUACUAGCUAAUCCCAUCUGGGCACAUCCGAUGGCAAGAGGCCCGAAGGUCCCCCUCU